RNAcentral lists this transfer RNA (71 nucleotides) under Amborella trichopoda. It matches the Rfam family "tRNA". From Rfam's summary of the family: Transfer RNA (tRNA) molecules are approximately 80 nucleotides in length. Their secondary structure includes four short double-helical elements and three loops (D, anti-codon, and T loops). The record is from Rfam by way of RNAcentral. Lineage: Eukaryota; Viridiplantae; Streptophyta; Magnoliopsida; Amborellales; Amborellaceae.
AAUGACGUGGCCCAGUGGUAAGGCAGGGGAUUGUAAAUCCUUUUUCCCCAGUUCAAAUUUGGGUGUCAUUU